Daphnia pulicaria is the source of this 781-nucleotide long non-coding RNA. RefSeq lists it as uncharacterized. NCBI's taxonomy places the organism in Eukaryota, Metazoa, Arthropoda, Branchiopoda, Diplostraca, Daphniidae. The transcript is spliced from 5 exons. The record is from RefSeq and is a predicted model, not a curated record.
AUCAUGAAACAUGGCGAAACAAAUUGUUGCUAUUGUAUACUUAUUUUUCUGUGAUUCCGAAUACUGAAUUGAACUUCGUUUGUAAAGUCAGUCGUCAGUCCAUCAUUCCGACAAGUUGACUUAGUGCUCAGUCAAUUUCCAUCCAUUAGAUCCUUAUGCUGUCAAAAGCCUGAAACUCAUAUUUGAAGCCAGCAUACAGUGGAAUUAUGCAAAAGUUCUUGCGCAUGGGCAUCUUUUCUGAAUCUUGCAAGUGUAACCUGUGUCAGAAUGUUUCUCGAGUGUACAACUGUGUCUAGAUGCUACAGCCAUUCAGAAGGCAACCCAGCCGAGAGAUGGAGUUCCAGUUUCAGUGAAUGAACAUGAAGUGUGUGAAGUGUAUUUAGUACAUUUACCAGAUCUGCUUGAUGAAAGUCAAAUACCUUACUGAAGUCACCCAAAUGAUAAAGAACUAUUUGUGACGUCCCAUGAGAUCGCGAGUCGACCGCAUGUUUCAAUCUACAACGCAGUUUCUUCAUGGAAUCGUGAGGUCCUAGCACGGAGAUCCUUGAGCCAACGCUGGCUUUUGUCCAUGACAGAAGAGGGACUUCUACCAACGUUCGGAUCCUUAUCUUCACGACGUACGCUGCUUCUUGUGCUUCACUGUUGAAUUAGAUCACUUCAGUGUUCGCUUCCGUACGCUGUGAAAUACCUGCAGUCACUCGCCACGGGAUUAUGCCCAGGUAAUACAGCGGAGACGUCGAGAAGAUGGACACCAAAACAUCACCGGCAUCUCCAAAAUGUC